This 213-nucleotide ribosomal RNA is filed under the name uncultured bacterium. RNAcentral describes it as "partial 16S ribosomal RNA". It matches the Rfam family "Bacterial small subunit ribosomal RNA", at positions 524 to 736 of the family's 1533-position model. The record is from RNAcentral.
UACGAAGGGGGCUAGCGUUGUUCGGAAUCACUGGGCGUAAAGCGCACGUAGGCGGAUUGUUAAGUCGGGGGUGAAAUCCUGAGGCUCAACCUCAGAACUGCCUUCGAUACUGGCAAUCUCGAAUCCGGAAGAGGUUGGUGGAACAGCUAGUGUAGAGGUGAAAUUCGUAGAUAUUAGCUAGAACACCAGUGGCGAAGGCGGCCAACUGGUCCG